AGCUUGCUGGGUGAGAUUAGUGGCGAACGGGUGAGUAACACGUGAGUAACCUGCCCUUAACUCUGGGAUAAGCCUGGGAAACUGGGUCUAAUACCGGAUAGGAGCGUCCACCGCAUGGUGGGUGUUGGAAAGAUUUAUCGGUUUUGGAUGGACUCGCGGCCUAUCAGCUUGUUGGUGAGGUAAUGGCUCACCAAGGCGACGACGGGUAGCCGGCCUGAGAGGGUGACCGGCCACACUGGGACUGAGACACGGCCCAGACUCCUACGGGAGGCAGCAGUGGGGAAUAUUGCACAAUGGGCGAAAGCCUGAUGCAGCGACGCCGCGUGAGGGAUGACGGCCUUCGGGUUGUAAACCUCUUUCAGUAGGGAAGAAGCGAAAGUGACGGUACCUGCAGAAGAAGCACCGGCUAACUACGUGCCAGCAGCCGCGGUAAUACGUAGGGUGCGAGCGUUAUCCGGAAUUAUUGGGCGUAAAGAGCUCGUAGGCGGUUUGUCGCGUCUGUCGUGAAAGUCCGGGGCUUAACCCCGGAUCUGCGGUGGGUACGGGCAGACUAGAGUGCAGUAGGGGAGACUGGAAUUCCUGGUGUAGCGGUGGAAUGCGCAGAUAUCAGGAGGAACACCGAUGGCGAAGGCAGGUCUCUGGGCUGUAACUGACGCUGAGGAGCGAAAGCAUGGGGAGCGAACAGGAUUAGAUACCCUGGUAGUCCAUGCCGUAAACGUUGGGCACUAGGUGUGGGGACCAUUCCACGGUUUCCGCGCCGCAGCUAACGCAUUAAGUGCCCCGCCUGGGGAGUACGGCCGCAAGGCUAAAACUCAAAGGAAUUGACGGGGGCCCGCACAAGCGGCGGAGCAUGCGGAUUAAUUCGAUGCAACGCGAAGAACCUUACCAAGGGCUUGACAUGUUCUCGAUCGCCGUAGAGAUACGGUUUCCCCUUUGGGGUGGGUUCACAGGUGGUGCAUGGUUGUCGUCAGCUCGUGUCGUGAGAUGUUGGGUUAAGUCCCGCAACGAGCGCAACCCUCGUUCCAUGUUGCCAGCACGUCGUGGUGGGGACUCAUGGGAGACUGCCGGGGUCAACUCGGAGGAAGGUGAGGACGACGUCAAAUCAUCAUGCCCCUUAUGUCUUGGGCUUCACGCAUGCUACAAUGGCCGGUACAAUGGGUUGCGAUACUGUGAGGUGGAGCUAAUCCCAAAAAGCCGGUCUCAGUUCGGAUUGGGGUCUGCAACUCGACCCCAUGAAGUCGGAGUCGCUAGUAAUCGCAGAUCAGCAACGCUGCGGUGAAUACGUUCCCGGGCCUUGUACACACCGCCCGUCAAGUCACGAAAGUUGGUAACACCCGAAGC
RNAcentral lists this ribosomal RNA (1341 nucleotides) under Micrococcus luteus. RNAcentral describes it as "16S ribosomal RNA". It matches the Rfam family "Bacterial small subunit ribosomal RNA", at positions 77 to 1427 of the family's 1533-position model. The record is from RNAcentral. Lineage: Bacteria; Bacillati; Actinomycetota; Actinomycetes; Micrococcales; Micrococcaceae.